UGAUUAUUUUGUGACUGAGUGGCGGACGGGUGAGUAACGCGUGGGUAACCUGCCUUACAGAGGGGGACAACAGUUGGAAACGACUGCUAAUACCGCAUGACACAUAGGUGUCGCAUGGCACUUAUGUCAAAGAUUUAUCGCUGAAAGAUGGCCUCGCGUCUGAUUAGCUGGUUGGUGAGGUAACGGCCCACCAAGGCGACGAUCAGUAGCCGGACUGAGAGGUUGACCGGCCACAUUGGGACUGAGAUACGGCCCAGACUCC
RNAcentral lists this ribosomal RNA (262 nucleotides) under uncultured Oscillibacter sp. Its description in RNAcentral is "partial 16S ribosomal RNA". It matches the Rfam family "Bacterial small subunit ribosomal RNA", at positions 77 to 339 of the family's 1533-position model. Lineage: Bacteria; Bacillati; Bacillota; Clostridia; Eubacteriales; Oscillospiraceae. The record is from RNAcentral.